Molecule: ribosomal RNA, 382 nt
Filed under: uncultured bacterium
Lineage: Bacteria
Description: bacterial SSU rRNA
Rfam family: Bacterial small subunit ribosomal RNA
Source: RNAcentral
AAUGAACGUUGGCGGCGUGGAUUAGGCAUGCAAGUCGCGCGACAAGGUUUUGUUAGCUUGCUAAUGAGACUGGAGGAGCGGCGAAAGGGAGAGUAACGCGUGGGUAUCUGCCCUGGGGUCCGGGAUAGCAGCGGGAAACUGCUGGUAAUACCGGAUAACAUCCCCGGAUCAAAGGUGUGAUUCCGCCCUGGGAUGGGCCCGCGUCCUAUUAGGUAGUUGGUGGGGUAAUGGCCUACCAAGCCAAAGAUGGGUACCGGGUGUGAGAGCAUGGCCCGGCUCACUGGGACUGAGACACUGCCCAGACAUCUACGGAUGGCUGCAGUCGAGAAUCUUCCGCAAUGGACGAAAGUCUGACGGAGCGACGCCGCGUGCGGGAUGAAGG